RNAcentral lists this long non-coding RNA (287 nucleotides) under Elaeis guineensis (African oil palm). RNAcentral's name for it is "long non-coding RNA (EGUI_LNC012772)". The record is from RNAcentral. Lineage: Eukaryota; Viridiplantae; Streptophyta; Magnoliopsida; Arecales; Arecaceae.
AAGCUUUUAUAAAAAUUCAUUCGAGACCAGAGGCUCCCUCAAAGGCCCAAAGAAUUGCCUUUAUAGUAAGAAGGCUCACUUUCAUCAUCAGUGAAUUAAAAUCCUUUAAUACCUCAAAAAGCAAUGCUAGUGCCAAUGACCUCAAUCAAACCUUAAGCAAGGUAGAAAGCGCAUCAGUAACGAGGAUGAAUAGCACCUAUAAAAGUGGGUCACCUUGUCUUAAACCUUGUUUGCAAUUGAUCCAAUUACCUAGCUUUCUAUUUACAAAUAUGGCUACCUUGGAAGAA